This 335-nucleotide long non-coding RNA is filed under the name Daucus carota (carrot). Its description in RNAcentral is "long non-coding RNA (DCAR_LNC004705)". Lineage: Eukaryota; Viridiplantae; Streptophyta; Magnoliopsida; Apiales; Apiaceae. The record is from RNAcentral.
ACAUCUUCAAGACAAGUCGGAACCGGGGGGUAGUAGCUGUUACACCCAAAAUCCAACAUUAGGCGCGCCUAAACAUAAGGCGCGCCCAGUUCGACUAUAACUCAAACGUCUCCAGAACUGAGAGCCUAGUCAACAACAAUUGGAAGAAUUUGCUUCACCAUCAGGGCGCGCCUCAUCCUCAUCUAAGACAUGGUAGAAGGCACGCUCGUCUCCUUCCACCUCGGCUUCCGCGACCUCUUAUUCAUCAACUCGGCUUCCAUGGCCUCUCCUUCAAACUCGGCUUCCGCGGCCUCUCCUCCAGCCUCGGCUUCCGCGGCCUCUCCUUCAGACUCGGC